Molecule: unclassified non-coding RNA, 424 nt
Filed under: Hevea brasiliensis (rubber tree)
Lineage: Eukaryota; Viridiplantae; Streptophyta; Magnoliopsida; Malpighiales; Euphorbiaceae
Source: RNAcentral
UUAGUUCCUUAUCUUAUUUGCUUUGUGAUAGAGUUGAAUCUAAGUCUAAAUUGAUAUGAUAAUAUAAUUUGUUACAAACUAUCUUCCAAUCUGUAUCAUGUUGCUUUUAAUAUUUCAUUAUCUGGAUGUAGAAAGAAAAGUGAUUUUUUUUCUUGUUAUCUUUCUUUUCUCUUUUAAAUAUCUACUCUACAUUUAGUUGAACAACAAGAACCAUAACACUGACUGUAAAUUAUCCUAUUCCAAUUACAGUCCAAACAAUUAACAAGCCAAUUACUCUAAUUCAUACAACAGACAAUCAGUUGGAAAAAUGCAAAACCCAUAUAUAAUUUCACAACCAAAUCCAAGUAUAAAUCCAAAUUAAUAUGAAAGCUAUUUACACACAAGCUAAGUAAAACAAACGCACACACACACAAAAAAAAAAAAA